Molecule: ribosomal RNA, 728 nt
Filed under: uncultured bacterium
Lineage: Bacteria
Description: bacterial SSU rRNA
Rfam family: Bacterial small subunit ribosomal RNA
Source: RNAcentral
GAUGAACGCUGACAGAAUGCUUAACACAUGCAAGUCGACUUGAAACAACUUCGGUUGUGGAAAGUGGCGGACGGGUGAGUAACGCGUAAAGAACUUGCCCUUCAGUCUGGGACAACCAUUGGAAACGAUGGCUAAUACCGGAUAUUAUGGAACUCUCGCAUGGGAGGAUCAUGAAAGCUAUAUGCGCUGAAGGAGAGCUUUGCGUUCCAUUAGCUAGUUGGUGAGGUAACGGCUCACCAAGGCGACGAUGGAUAGCCGGCCUGAGAGGGUGAUCGGCCACAAGGGGACUGAGACACGGCCCUUACUCCUACGGGAGGCAGCAGUGGGGAAUAUUGGACAAUGGACCAAAAGUCUGAUCCAGCAAUUCUGUGUGCACGAUGAAGGUUUUCGGAUCGUAAAGUGCUUUCAGUUGGGAAGAAGAAAGUGACGGUACCAACAGAAGAAGCGACGGCUAAAUACGUGCCAGCAGCCGCGGUAAUACGUAUGUCGCAAGCGUUAUCCGGAUUUAUUGGGCGUAAAGCGCGUCUAGGCGGGUUCAUAAGUCUGAUGUUAAAAUGCGGGGCUCAACUCCGUAUUGCGUUGGAAACUGUGAACCUAGAGUAUCAGAGAGGUGGGCGGAACUACAAGUGUAGAGGUGAAAUUCAUAAUAUUUGUAGGAAUGCCGAUGGAGAAGUCAGCUCACUGGAUGAAUACUGACGCUAAAGCGCGAAAGCGUGGGUAGCAAACAG